AUCGGAUCGGUGCAACAUCUCCCGGGUUUCUCCAUGUACAACGUGUGAUGGUGCUUUUCUCGUAGACGUUUCUCUGGACAGACAGUGAGAGAGAAGCCGUUGAUCCACUGAUGAUGUUGGUCUGUUUACAGAUUAUAGAAAAACCUGUGCUUGUGGAUCUACAUCGGAUGACCAUGGCAACCCAGGUGUGGAAAUAUUAGACUGUUUUUAAUCUGAAAUCUGUGUAAUCUAAGAUGGACAAUUCUUCUGACACCAUAUGAAUGCAUACUGUCGUCUGGCAGAAGCUAGAUCAUUUAGAUUAUAAAGUUAUAUGUUUUUACACAUGCAUCUAUUUGCUUCAGAAGGCCUUUAUUAAAGGAUUAGUUCACCUCAAAAUGAACAUUUCCUGAUCAUUAAAGGAAUAGUCUACUCAUUUUCAAUAUUAAACUAUGUUAUUACCUUAACUAAGAAUUGUUGAUACAUCCCUCUAUCAUCUGUGUGCGUGCACGUAAGCGCUGGA
Molecule: non-coding RNA, 499 nt
Organism: Paramisgurnus dabryanus
Lineage: Eukaryota; Metazoa; Chordata; Actinopteri; Cypriniformes; Cobitidae
Source: RefSeq, a predicted model, not a curated record